CCUACGGGUGGCAGCAGUGGGGAAUAUUGCACAAUGGGGGAAACCCUGAUGCAGCGACGCCGCGUGCGUGAAGAAGUAUUUCGGUAUGUAAAGCUCUAUCAGCAGGGAAGAAAAUGACGUUACCUGUUUAAGAUGCCCCGUCUAACUACGUGCCAGAAGCCGCGGUAAUACGCAGGGGGCAAGCGUUAUACGGAUUUACUGGGUGUAAAGGGAGCGUAAGCGGCAGGACAAGUCUGGAGUGAAAUGGCCGGGCUUAACCCCGGAACUGCUGUGGGAAAUGUGGAGCUAGAGUGCGGGGGAGGUAAGUGGAAUUCGUAGUGUAGCGGUGAAAUGCGUAGAUAUGAGGAGGAACCCC
This 355-nucleotide ribosomal RNA is filed under the name uncultured bacterium. RNAcentral's name for it is "partial 16S ribosomal RNA". It matches the Rfam family "Bacterial small subunit ribosomal RNA", at positions 338 to 710 of the family's 1533-position model. The record is from RNAcentral.